CCAAAUAAGCCUAUAAACAGAUGGUCAUUUUUAUAAAAGAUAAAAAUCCAAUAAUAUGGAAGCGAAGAACUUUGUCAAAAUAUAUCAUCCAUUCUUCACUAGAGAAUAACUGAUAUGGUGUAUAUUGAGUUAAAUGGUUACGCAAUGGAAAAGUUAUCGUUGUCAUUCAUAACGAUUUGGGUUAUAAUACGAUGUGUUAAACACGCCAAUAGGGAAGAAACGAAAUGUAUUACUUACAUUGUCAUCAUCACCCUCUAUAACCUACGAUCACCUACCACCAUCCAAUGUCAUCAACACUAACCAAUCUUCACCCUGGAAGCCUACUGUCAACGAGAGCAAUCCAUCAUCAUCUUCAAUAAUCAACUGUCAUCUAAUGUCAGCAACAGAAACCGACCGUAGCUUAUCGUCACCACAUUGGUUUUUUAGUAAACUAACGCACCCACUGAAGCUAAAUACAUUUUAAAUGUUGUAUGGUUGUUUUUACAUACUGAUAUGUCCGGUUUGUUUGUUCUUAGGGGCAAAAACGAUUUCCUCCAAGGCUUCUAUUCUUGGCGACAAAAUAUGAUAUAUUUACAGCUAUGUGGAAUGGACUGUCCCUUGUAACAAAUAAACACCACCUUUUCUUUUGUAUUUUAGUGUUCACAUUGUAGGCCGAAUUUUUCUUCUUUAUAUCGAUCUACAUGCACGUGUAUCUCAACUCUUAAUUCACAUGCCUUUAAAACCUGUGGUCAGAAUGCCAUUUACCAUAGCUAAAUUAUUUUAAAAGACAAGGAGACAAGAAAAAAAGAAACCAAUUCACAAUUGUUA
Molecule: long non-coding RNA, 807 nt
Organism: Xenia sp. Carnegie-2017
Lineage: Eukaryota; Metazoa; Cnidaria; Anthozoa; Malacalcyonacea; Xeniidae
Exons: 2
Source: RefSeq, a predicted model, not a curated record